Long non-coding RNA from Daphnia pulex (common water flea), 438 nucleotides. RefSeq lists it as uncharacterized. The record is from RefSeq and is a predicted model, not a curated record. NCBI's taxonomy places the organism in Eukaryota, Metazoa, Arthropoda, Branchiopoda, Diplostraca, Daphniidae. The transcript is spliced from 3 exons.
AUUGGAGACUUGAGCCAGCCAUCAUAACCACAAGACAUUCAAGUUUUGCUCGUGCUGCCAUCAGUAACAAUCUCAACAUCAGCACUUGGAUAAACAGCAUCCCGUUUGAUCGGUGACAUUCUGCCCUCGUAUUGUACACCCAUGUGAAUUUAGGCGUAUUCACAAGGACACCCUUUUCCCUAAAUCCCGGCUGGUGUCUUCAACCUUUCAGCGGAUGGAUGGAACGAACUUGCAUAUGGAUGCCUGGCGUUAUUUCCCAAGCUCCAAGAUAAACAGCAUCCCAUCUAAUUGGUGAUAUUCCCCUUUCCUGCCCUCGUGUACACCAUGUGAAUGUGGAUGUAUUCACGAGUCUGAGGCCCUUUUUCCUAUGUCACCUGGUGGAUUCAACAUUUCAGCGGAUGGAUGGACCAACUGUGGAUGCCUGGCCGUAUUUCCCAG